GCCAGGCAUGGUGGCAUAUGCUUGUAAUCCCAGCAGCUCUGGAGGCUGAGGCAGGAGGAUUGCAAGCUGAAAGCCAGCCUCAACAAAAGUGAGGCCCUAAGCAACUCAGUGAGACCCUGUCUCUA
This 125-nucleotide small RNA is filed under the name Marmota monax (woodchuck). The record is from RNAcentral. Lineage: Eukaryota; Metazoa; Chordata; Mammalia; Rodentia; Sciuridae.